CACAGCCUACAGGUACCACGCCUAGCUCAACAUGCGCAACUAGUUAGUUCGUUAUGCCUCAAAUUUGCAGCUCAUCACGUGACAUUGUUAACUUUCUUCGAUGAACUUGAUGUUGCUAGUUAAUUAGCGGCACUCCGUUGAUAAGUUCGUUGUGACGAACUGACGAUGUGCAAACCUUGCAUGUCAACCUAACAAGACAUUCGCACGGUGCUAAUUUGCAUUCUUGUGAGAA
Molecule: long non-coding RNA, 232 nt
Filed under: Setaria italica (foxtail millet)
Lineage: Eukaryota; Viridiplantae; Streptophyta; Magnoliopsida; Poales; Poaceae
Description: long non-coding RNA (SITA_LNC003898)
Source: RNAcentral